This 207-nucleotide long non-coding RNA is filed under the name Phoenix dactylifera (date palm). RNAcentral's name for it is "long non-coding RNA (PDAC_LNC016162)". The record is from RNAcentral. Lineage: Eukaryota; Viridiplantae; Streptophyta; Magnoliopsida; Arecales; Arecaceae.
CCUGACAAGCUCACUGUUAGUAUAAUUUUUGCCAAGGCUUUUUAGGCCAUUGACAAUGUCAGUAAAUCUAGUGAACAUGCAAGUGAUUGUUUCAUUAGAAUCCAUCUUAAAUAAUUCAUACUUAUGAACUAAUAUAUUUAUUUUGGAUUCUUUGACUUGAUUUGUGCCCUCGUGGGUCACUUCAAGUCUAUCCCAAAUCUCUUUUGC